This 64-nucleotide transfer RNA is filed under the name Stegodyphus mimosarum. It matches the Rfam family "tRNA". From Rfam's summary of the family: Transfer RNA (tRNA) molecules are approximately 80 nucleotides in length. The record is from Rfam by way of RNAcentral. Lineage: Eukaryota; Metazoa; Arthropoda; Arachnida; Araneae; Eresidae.
GCCUUCGUGGUGUAGUGGUCAACACGUAUUCGAGAGAUCCGUGGUUCGAAUCCUGGCGAGGGCA